AGAGCGAACGCUGGCGGCAGGCCUAACACAUGCAAGUCGAACGGAUCCUUCGGGAUUAGUGGCGGACGGGUGAGUAACACGUGGGAACGUGCCCUUUGGUUCGGAACAACUCAGGGAAACUUGAGCUAAUACCGGAUAAGCCUUUCGAGGGAAAGAUUUAUCGCCAUUGGAGCGGCCCGCGUAGGAUUAGCUAGUUGGUGAGGUAAAAGCUCACCAAGGCGACGAUCCUUAGCUGGUCUGAGAGGAUGAUCAGCCACAUUGGGACUGAGACACGGCCCAAACUCCUACGGGAGGCAGCAGUGGGGAAUCUUGCGCAAUGGGCGAAAGCCUGACGCAGCCAUGCCGCGUGAAUGAUGAAGGUCUUAGGAUUGUAAAAUUCUUUCACCGGGGACGAUAAUGACGGUACCCGGAGAAGAAGCCCCGGCUAACUUCGUGCCAGCAGCCGC
RNAcentral lists this ribosomal RNA (446 nucleotides) under uncultured soil bacterium. Its description in RNAcentral is "bacterial SSU rRNA". It matches the Rfam family "Bacterial small subunit ribosomal RNA", at positions 26 to 518 of the family's 1533-position model. The record is from RNAcentral.